Molecule: long non-coding RNA, 3040 nt
Organism: Manis pentadactyla (Chinese pangolin)
Lineage: Eukaryota; Metazoa; Chordata; Mammalia; Pholidota; Manidae
Exons: 5
Source: RefSeq, a predicted model, not a curated record
ACUGUCUCAUCUAGUGUCACCCCAGAUGGAACCCAGAUGGGUAAAUUGAGGCAACUGGCUGCUUGGGAAAAAAACUUAGCAGUGAUUUCUCCCUGCAAGCCAGGAUCUCAUUAUCACUUUGAAAACAUGUUUUUGGGCACCACUGGCUGAGAGAUGUGCCCCUUGUGGACCACCCUGGAGCCAUCUGAACAGACCUUUGGGGGGCAGUUCUGACAAAAGGGUCUGGAGGUGUGCAACCCGCCUAGGACAGUGGACGACAUCCUGACUUGAAGCUGACUGAGGUUCAGGCCUUCUCCCUGCACAGCAUCACCUCCCGUCCAGGGACCCCGGUGAGUCUCUGAUCCCGUUAGGCUCGGCUCUCUUGUGUGUCCAUCCUAGGGAACGGUAAGGCCCACUGUCCUCCCUACAGGCAGGCGAUGGCCUCUGCCGCAGGAGCGCCUCCAUUUAGACCUGGCUCCCUUGUUUACUAGCCGCCUAACUUCGAGCAGGCUACCUAACCUCUGCACGCCACACUUAGUUCAGUAAGAUACGAUUAGUAAUGAGUGCCUACUCGCAGGCUUGGGCAAAGGAUUUAAUGAGGUAACACAAUAAAAUGUUUGGCACGACUCCAAUGCUGGCACAGAGUUUACACUCAAUAAAUACCAGCUCUUACUAUGAUCAGUUUUAAUAUUUGUGAGCUCAACUUUCUGCCAAGGAGCCCCAAGAUUGUUUAUUCCCUGCUACAUGUGAGAGGAGUAGAUCCGAUUUUUCAUCCUAAUCCACACCUGGUUCUUGGCGGGGCCAUAGCACCAAGUUGUGGGCUUAGCAAAGGUUACUUCCCUGCCCCAGCCUCUACUCCAUAUGCCUUCACUGGCACUUUCAGGGUUACCUUUUACUUAGUGGCUUCCUCUGUAUGUCCAUUGCUUUGCAUAUAUUAUCUCAAAUUCUCUUGACAAACCUCUGAAGUUCGGAUCUUUGCCCCAACUUUACAGAUGAGAAACCUGGGCUCUGCAAGUUUGGGGAAAUGGCUCAAGUUCACAGGGGCAGGAAAUGCUGGUGCUGGCAUAGUGACCAACCACCUGACCCUCAAACCCUGGACUGCCUGCCCCACCCCCACCCCCUCCUGUCCCUGGUCAGGCCUGUCCUUCUCCUGGUCUACCCGGAAAAGACAGCUCAUUGCAAAGAACCUGGUGGUCAAGAACACACAAUUCCUUCUGGAGUGGAAGGAAUUUAUACCUGAACAUUGAUUGAAGCUUUCAGGUAAAGAAAUAUAGGUCUAUUGGCAGAAGUUGAGACAAUUAGCAAGACAAAACAUUUGUUAAGUGUUUGGGACUUUUUGAGUCAAAUUGAAUUAUUCACAGAGGGAAAGGGAAAAACAUCAGAGCUUGCAUUUUCAGUAUUUGUCUUAUUUUAAUUUCUCUUUUUGGCAUGUGUAGUAGAAUGCACAUGCUAUAAUUAUAUCAGCACAGUAGUACAGGCAUGCAAUCUAUAAAUAACUAUACAGAGCUUUGGGGGCAUGCUAAGUAAGUGUUAUUUAUCUAUGACAUGAUCAGAAGAUUUUGGAAACGGCUCCUGACUCUCAGCAGUUCCUGCUCCACCUAGAAAAAGCUUUGUCAAAUUCAGUACGUCCUGGGAAGAAGUCUCAAUGGAUUCUCUAAGAUCCUCUGGCCAGAAAAUGGAGGCAAAGAAGAAUCCUAAAAAACUGGAUGUCGUCUGUAAUACCAGGAGGACAAUGCUGUAAAUUCUCUCUGUACUUGCUUUUCUACUCAUAUCCUGGGAAAACAAGGCAGGCUGCACUCUGUGGCAAAGAGAAAGAGAUCUGAGAAGAGCUAUGGCUUGUGUCAUGGGCCUGGGAGAUUAAAAACUGAUGUGCAGCCCCACUAAGGCAAUCAGGACUUACAGGGCCAAAAUUCCCAAGGAAAGGUUAAGAAAGCUGAGUUAUCACCAGAUCCAGGUCAGGCCUGAGAGAGAUGGAACAGUGAUAAAAGGGAAAGUUGUGUACUAGGUCAUAAUUGAGCUGAGAUAGCUGGAGAGCAAGAUUGGACCCCAGUUUCCAUACCAAACUGCCUAUUCUUCUGGGAAUUACUUGCAGAGUUGCAUUGUGAAACUUCUGUGUUUCCUGGGGAGCAGGAGCAGAUCACGUGAGGUCAACUCGGCAUUGAAGUCCAAGAGAGCCAGCAAAGAUCUCUCAGACCUUCAACCGCCUGACCGCAGUGGCUAUUCUCAAAGGGCCUUGACUCACUAUCUUACACAGAUCUGAACUCCCAAUCUCUGCCUACCCCAUAAACCAGAGAGGAAAUGACAUGGCUUUCAGUCCCAUUAUCUCCCUUGCAUCCAUGGACUUGCUGACCCCAAGAUGAACUGGUCUGGAUACUUUGCAUUUAUUUUUGAGAUAUUUUGAAUUCGUUCUCCAUGGGUGCGGAAAACACUUUGACCAGUCAGGCCUCUCUUCUCCUCUCUACCCAGUAGGUUCUUCCUCUGUCUAUUCUUUGGUUCUCAGCAUCACUCAUUUACCCCAGGGACUAGAACUGACUUUCUGUCCUAUCUCUGACACCUUCCAUGUCCACAGUUGUUCCCAUCUCAUAAAUGGGAAUCCUCCCCUGGAGCCCAGUAGGGUGUUUCCUUCCUCCAUAUUCUUACAUGCUCCUGUCCUAUCUCCACCUCUCUGAAUACCCUUGGGAGUCGGGGCUGCAUGCACAACCAUGCAGGUUGUUAGGUUUUCACUCUGAGACCUCACACUGGAAUCUUCUUUGGCCAGAGUCACACAGCCUGUAUUAGCUAUGAUGGCAAGGAACGGAAGAAAUUGAUGGUGGCUCAAGCAAUACAGCCAUUUGAUUAUUGUCCAUUAUGUUUGGAGGUAGAUGGUUCCACCUUUGGUUUUCCUCAAGGACAGAAGAUCUUUCUACUCUCUCUUCCUUCUCAGGGAUCUUUGGCCAGUUGGCUUUUUAUCUUCAGACUGAUGCCUCAUGGUCAUAAGAUGGCUGAUGUAGCUCCAGAUGAUACACUCUCAUUCCAGCCACCCACACAGGAAGGAAGGGAAUGGUAUUAAAGCAUUCUGCAC